This 412-nucleotide ribosomal RNA is filed under the name uncultured soil bacterium. RNAcentral describes it as "bacterial SSU rRNA". It matches the Rfam family "Bacterial small subunit ribosomal RNA", at positions 26 to 432 of the family's 1533-position model. The record is from RNAcentral.
AGAUUGAACGCUGGCGGCAUGCUUUACACAUGCAAGUCGAACGGCAGCGCGGGGCAACCUGGCGGCGAGUGGCGAACGGGUGAGUAAUAUAUCGGAACGUACCCAAGAGUGGGGGAUAACGUAGCGAAAGUUACGCUAAUACCGCAUACGAUCUAAGGAUGAAAGUGGGGAUUCGCAAGAACCUCAUGCUCCUGGAGCGGCCGAUAUCUGAUUAGCUAGUUGGUGAGGUAAAGGCUCACCGAAGGCGACGAUCAGUAGCUGGUCUGAGAGGACGACCAGCCACACUGGAACUGAGACACGGUCCAGACUCCGUACGGGAGCAGCAGGUGGGUAAUUUGGACAGUGGGCACGAAGCCUGACUCCAGCAAGUCGCCGCGUGAGUAGAAGGACGGUCCGUUAGGUUAGUAAAGUC